This 25-nucleotide non-coding RNA is filed under the name Drosophila melanogaster (fruit fly). The record is from RNAcentral. Lineage: Eukaryota; Metazoa; Arthropoda; Insecta; Diptera; Drosophilidae.
CCGGAUUACCCGAAGUCAUUCCAUC